GAUGAACGCUGGCGGCGUGCCUAAUACAUGCAAGUCGAGCGAACAGACGAGGAGCUUGCUCCUUUGACGUUAGCGGCGGACGGGUGAGUAACACGUGGGUAACCUACCUAUAAGACUGGGAUAACUUCGGGAAACCGGAGCUAAUACCGGAUAAUAUUUCGAACCGCAUGGUUCGAUAGUGAAAGAUGGCUUUGCUAUCACUUAUAGAUGGACCUGCGCCGUAUUAGCUAGUUGGUAAGGUAACGGCUUACCAAGGCAACGAUACGUAGCCGACCUGAGAGGGUGAUCGGCCACACUGGAACUGAGACACGGUCCAGACUCCUACGGGAGGCAGCAGUAGGGAAUCUUCCGCAAUGGGCGAAAGCCUGACGGAGCAACGCCGCGUGAGUGAUGAAGGUCUUCGGAUCGUAAAACUCUGUUAUUAGGGAAGAACAAACGUGUAAGUAACUGUGCACGUCUUGACGGUACCUAAUCAGAAAGCCACGGCUAACUACGUGCCAGCAGCCGCGGUAAUACGUAGGUGGCAAGCGUUAUCCGGAAAUAUUGGGCGUAAAGCGCGCGUAGGCGGUUUUUUAAGUCUGAUGUGAAAGCCCACGGCUCAACCGUGGAGGGUCAUUGGAAACUGGAAAACUUGAGUGCAGAAGAGGAAAGUGGAAUUCCAUGUGUAGCGGUGAAAUGCGCAGAGAUAUGGAGGAACACCAGUGGCGAAGGCGACUUUCUGGUCUGUAACUGACGCUGAUGUGCGAAAGCGUGGGGAUCAAACAGGAUUAGAUACCCUGGUAGUCCACGCCGUAAACGAUGAGUGCUAAGUGUUAGGGGGUUUCCGCCCCUUAGUGCUGCAGCUAACGCAUUAAGCACUCCGCCUGGGGAGUACGACCGCAAGGUUGAAACUCAAAGGAAUUGACGGGGACCCGCACAAGCGGUGGAGCAUGUGGUUUAAUUCGAAGCAACGCGAAGAACCUUACCAAAUCUUGACAUCCUUUGCUCCUUCUAGAGAUAGAAGUUUCCCCUUCGGGGGACAAAGUGACAGGUGGUGCAUGGUUGUCGUCAGCUCGUGUCGUGAGAUGUUGGGUUAAGUCCCGCAACGAGCGCAACCCUUAAGCUUAGUUGCCAUCAUUAAGUUGGGCACUCUAAGUUGACUGCCGGUGACAAACCGGAGGAAGGUGGGGAUGACGUCAAAUCAUCAUGCCCCUUAUGAUUUGGGCUACACACGUGCUACAAUGGACAAUACAAAGGGCAGCGAAACCGCGAGGUCAAGCAAAUCCCAUAAAGUUGUUCUCAGUUCGGAUUGUAGUCUGCAACUCGACUACAUGAAGCUGGAAUCGCUAGUAAUCGUAGAUCAGCAUGCUACGGUGAAUACGUUCCCGGGUCU
RNAcentral lists this ribosomal RNA (1372 nucleotides) under uncultured bacterium. Its description in RNAcentral is "bacterial SSU rRNA". It matches the Rfam family "Bacterial small subunit ribosomal RNA", at positions 28 to 1381 of the family's 1533-position model. The record is from RNAcentral.